AUCUUUCUAGUAUCAGAUAGUACACGCGACUUCCAAUCGCAAGGUCUUGGUCAAAAUCCAAGGAAAGAUA
RNAcentral lists this transfer RNA (70 nucleotides) under Pristicon trimaculatus (three-spot cardinalfish). RNAcentral describes it as "tRNA-Gly". It matches the Rfam family "tRNA". Rfam says of the family: Transfer RNA (tRNA) molecules are approximately 80 nucleotides in length. Lineage: Eukaryota; Metazoa; Chordata; Actinopteri; Kurtiformes; Apogonidae. The record is from RNAcentral.